CCUACGGGAGGCAGCAGUGGGGAAUAUUGCACAAUGGAGGAAACUCUGAUGCAGCAACGCCGCGUGGAGGAUGACGCAUUUCGGUGUGUAAACUCCUUUUAUAUAGGAAGAUAAUGACGUACUAUAUGAAUAAGCACCGGCUAACUCCG
This 149-nucleotide ribosomal RNA is filed under the name endosymbiont of Petrasma sp. RNAcentral's name for it is "partial 16S ribosomal RNA". It matches the Rfam family "Bacterial small subunit ribosomal RNA", at positions 338 to 505 of the family's 1533-position model. The record is from RNAcentral.